RNAcentral lists this long non-coding RNA (577 nucleotides) under Carica papaya (papaya). RNAcentral describes it as "long non-coding RNA (CPAP_LNC016287)". The record is from RNAcentral. Lineage: Eukaryota; Viridiplantae; Streptophyta; Magnoliopsida; Brassicales; Caricaceae.
AACCCUAAAAAUAGUAAAAUAGGCUGAGUAGAAAAGACUCAGAUCAGAAAAGAGGGAGAUUAGAAGAGAGGCCAGAGCAAAGGAAGAAAGAGAGCAGUUGGCCUCCACCGCGUGCAGAGCCGCACGAAGAGAGAGCCUCGGAAUCCGUCUUCUUCAGCCGCAUGCAGAGUCGCGUUUGCCUCAAGUAAGUUCUUCUUCAGUCACGCGCAGGAACGUGUUAACCCUGAGUCUAUUCUUCUUCCGCUGCGCGCAGAGACGCGUGAAAAAAACCGAUCAACCCGGCUUCUUCUUCAUCCUUGCGUAGAGUUGCACGAGGAGUUGUGCGAUUUGGUUCUCCUUCCUCCGUGCGCAGAGUUGCGCCAAGUGCCAAGCAACCAGCUUCUUGUUUGCCGCUUGACAGGAAGCUUUUCUUGCUGCGAUCUCUACUCUGCGCAGAUCUGCCUGAGUUGAGAUGAGACUUGAGCUGAACCGAGUUCGAGCCGAUUUUGAGCCAUUUUUGAGCCAAUUUCAAGCCGUUUUGAGUCGAACUCGAGUUGUUUUUGGGUUGAGUCUAGCUGUGUUGCUGGCUAACAUAUCU